Molecule: ribosomal RNA, 465 nt
Filed under: uncultured bacterium
Lineage: Bacteria
Description: bacterial SSU rRNA
Rfam family: Bacterial small subunit ribosomal RNA
Source: RNAcentral
UCCAGACUCCUACGGGAGGCAGCAGUGAGGAAUAUUGGUCAAUGGGCUUACGCCUGAACCAGCCAAGUCGCGUGAGGGAAGACUGCCCUAUGGGUUGUAAACCUCUUUUGUCAGGGAGCAAUUGGCGCUACGUGUAGCGUUAUCGAGAGUACCUGAAGAAAAAGCAUCGGCUAACUCCGUGCCAGCAGCCGCGGUAAUACGGAGGAUGCGAGCGUUAUCCGGAUUUAUUGGGUUUAAAGGGUGCGCAGGCGGAAUGUCAAGUCAGCGGUAAAAUUUCGGGGCUCAACCCCGUCGUGCCGUUGAAACUGGCGUUCUUGAGUGAGCGAGAAGUAUGCGGAAUGCGUGGUGUAGCGGUGAAAUGCAUAGAUAUCACGCAGAACUCCGAUUGCGAAGGCAGCGUACCGGCGCCCAACUGACGCUGAAGCACGAAGGCGUGGGUAUCGAACAGGAUUAGAUACCCCAGUA